GCCCACAUGACUGUAACUAAUUUCUCCCCUACAACUGAGGAUAACCUCAGAAAUGCGAUAGAUUUUCUGGAAAAGCUUAAUCUUAAGAAUUCUAGUAAUAACAACAAUUCCAAUCAGAGCAGCACUGUAGGAUCGUCUUCCAGAUCUGGCGCGGUGUGCCAACAACUCAUGAUAAAUUCUAUUUUAAGGCAUUGACGAGAGCUGGAGUGAUGCUUCGGGACGGCGGCGACAAGUGGGGGAUAGACGGCGACCAAGAAUAGAAAAGACAACGGAGGAUUCUGAA
This is a long non-coding RNA of Lycium ferocissimum, 283 nucleotides long. RefSeq lists it as uncharacterized. The transcript is spliced from 2 exons. Lineage: Eukaryota; Viridiplantae; Streptophyta; Magnoliopsida; Solanales; Solanaceae. The record is from RefSeq and is a predicted model, not a curated record.